RNAcentral lists this ribosomal RNA (474 nucleotides) under uncultured bacterium. Its description in RNAcentral is "SSU rRNA". It matches the Rfam family "Bacterial small subunit ribosomal RNA", at positions 26 to 518 of the family's 1533-position model. The record is from RNAcentral.
AGGAUAAACGCUGGCGGCGUGCAUGAGACAUGCAAGUCGAACGGACGAUCGAGGCUUGCUUCGAUCGUUAGUGGCGGACGGCUGAGUAACGCGUAGGUGACCUGCCCCGAAGUGGGGAAUAACUGCCCGAAAGGGUGGCUAAUACCGCAUGUGGUGGUGCGUUCAAUCGCACCAGUAAAGCCGCAAGGCGCUUCGGGAGGGGCCUGCGUCCGAUUAGCUCGUUGGUGGGGUAACGGCUCACCAAGGCGACGAUCGGUAGGUGGUCUGAGAGGACGAUCACCCAGACUGGGACUGAGACACGGCCCAGACUCCUACGGGAGGCAGCAGUCGGGAAUUUUUGCGCAAUGGACGAAAGUCUGACGCAGCAACGCCGCGUGAGGGAUGAAGGCCUUCGGGUUGUAAACCUCUUUUAUCAGGGAAGAUAAUGACGGUACCUGAUGAAUAAGUCACGGCUAACUACGUGCCAGCAGCCGC